AGUCAACUUUUCUCAGAAAAGUAUUUUGAGGGCCAGCAUGAAUAUUUUAUUUGAGAUAGCGCACUCCAUCUUUUCAAGAGAAAAGAGACCCAAGCGCUCGCAUGCCCUUAACGGAUUAGAUGAGAGGGUGGGCGAAAGUAGGUGAAAGUGACAGCACGAGACCUUCAAAACGAACCCUGCUGAAGGGUUCACGGCUAAGUCUAUAUAGAUAUGCCGAAACGUGCCGAGUAGGGUCAAACACACGACGAGGACCUAGACAAAGUUUUGAAAAAAACGACUUGUAGGGCGUGUUGAACGCAAGUAAAAAGUCUAGUUGUAAGCUGAAAUGCUUACAGAGUAAUCUAAUCC
RNAcentral lists this non-coding RNA (348 nucleotides) under unclassified sequences. Its description in RNAcentral is "GEBRO RNA". It matches the Rfam family "GEBRO RNA". The record is from Rfam by way of RNAcentral.